UUUUAUACCCUUUCUCUCUUUUGCCGUUCUCUCUAGCCUCUGCCUCUCUCAAUUCUCAAAAUCCCUAAACCAUAUCCCAUGGGCAUUCUCUCACUCCUUCAGUGGCAAAAAGUGCCAGCCUCCCACCACCGUCAUAUACCGCCAAAGCCGCUACCAGUGCAGGAUCAGGUACUAAGUUUUUGCCCUUCUGAUUGAUUUGUCAUAGUUCCAGAAAUCCCCCUACAAAAUUCUCUAAGUAGAAACCAAUGGCUGUCUAAGUGGUGGAAACUGAGAGAGGUGGAGUUAUCAACUUGCUUUCAUUACACAACAUUCCUGAUAAUCUUAGCGAAAUUGGUGUGGAGUAUGUUGAGGUAGGGAUUUAGCAUUUUGAUAUCUGGCUUAUUUGGUAAUACAACUACAAGACAAGGAAAGUCAGGCUUACAUCAGUGAAACUUGAUGUUCAAAGCAAUGUGCAACUCACACCAACAUCUAUACCCAAGGAAAACAAAAGGGCAUAUAUAGGGACUGCUACAAAGCAACAAAGGAAGAAGAUGCAAAAAACACUUUAAAGUUGUC
Quercus lobata is the source of this 555-nucleotide long non-coding RNA. RefSeq lists it as uncharacterized. The transcript has 5 exons. The record is from RefSeq and is a predicted model, not a curated record. Lineage: Eukaryota; Viridiplantae; Streptophyta; Magnoliopsida; Fagales; Fagaceae.